Ailuropoda melanoleuca (giant panda) is the source of this 4603-nucleotide long non-coding RNA. RefSeq lists it as uncharacterized. The transcript is spliced from 6 exons. Lineage: Eukaryota; Metazoa; Chordata; Mammalia; Carnivora; Ursidae. The record is from RefSeq and is a predicted model, not a curated record.
UCUCCCCUUAGCAUCUCCCCACUCAAGUCCCCCAGGUCUCUCCCUCAGCUUCUCCCCUCUCAGGUCCCCCUCCAGUUCUUUUCUUCACUCAGGUUCCCUCCCCCCAACAGUUGUCCUCAGCUUCUCUCCCCGAGGUUUUCCUCCAAGGUAUCCCCCAAAGUACCCUCCUGUGGCCUCCCCCUAGGUCUCCCCAACACAGUUAUCCCCCCCAACCUUUCCCUCACGUCUGCCCGCUGAGGUCUCCCCACUCCAUGUUGUCUAUUUACAAAGCACUGGAAGUGGUGACUCUUCUUCCCUGCUAAAGGACUAUUCUACAUACCUGAACAGGUUACAUACUUACUGUUGAAAGGGAAUUUUUGUGGCCUUAGAGCUUAGGUGUGCAGCCACUUGGGUGUGCAAAAGUUACAGGCGGGACAGGUGGGUGAUAGUAGGCAAAGCUUGUCUUCCGGUGUGACUCGGUCCAAGGACUGCAGGCGAUGUCCCCAUUGGCCCGGUGGUGGCUCUGGACCAUGAUGGGGUGCGGGAUGACGGCAGGUUUGCAGGUUACUCUGGACAUUAAGGAGCUGCCCCUUUCAGUCCUGCUGAGGCCCAGGUUAUUUGGGAUUCCCAGAAGACACCAUCUGGAGAAGCCCCGAGAAGAUUUUCAGUUUAAUUGACAGGCCCCAGUCAUGGAACAUAAGAGACAGUCCUGCAGCCUUCUUCACAGAGGCUCCCUAACUUUGCCAGACAUGCAGAACUCAGCAGAAUGAGUGGAAAGAUCAGGAUUGCUCAUCAUCUCCUUGGCAGACAUCAUCGUGUUGUGAAGCGAAAAUUGGGAGUCCCUCAUUGCCUGGAAUAGCAGAGACACCAGGGGCUCAGGCAGCUGCAGCGAGCUUCCAGCCUCAGGAGAACGCUGUGUGGAAGCAGCCGUCUGAACCUCCGUCUGAAGGCUACAGCCCAGCCCUCUUCUCUGGCUGGACAGAGGAGAACAUCAAAAGGCUGACGUGGCCCCUCCUGCCUGUUUCCCAGCAUUGACCAAAGGCUGCCGUGCCGAGCACAGCCUGUCGUCUGGCGCGGGCUGUGCUGGAGGGUCCCAUGAGCCUUACACCGAGUGUCGAGGAACCCACCUGCACCCAGACCCUGCUCAGAACCCCCUACAUUCAGGGGCUCAAGGAAGACGAGCAGAAACAAAACGACAGCUCACUUGAACAAAUGCACAGAGCUUGACAGCCAUUUCCCCAAGGAAGAUAUACAGAUGGCCAGCAGGCCCCUGAAGAGACGCCUGGCAAAGCAGGAAUCCUACCACUUGACACCCGCUGUGGCGAUGAUAACAAAACAAAGUGGAAAAUCACAAGUGUCGGUGAGGAGGCAGGUCCGCUGGAACGCUCACGCACUGCUGAUGGCGAGGGAGACGGUGUAGCCACGUGGGAAACUGUCGCCCCUUCCUCAGCGGGUUGUCACACCUGGCAAUUCCUAGCAGUUCCACACCUAGGUGCACAUCCAAGAGAAGUGAAAACGGGGGCCUGAACUGAUCCUUGUACACCCGGGUUCAGAGCAGGUCUGUUCACAGUAGCCAAAAGGUAGAAACAGCUGAACUUUCUGUAGAUGGAUGGCUAAGCAAAAUAUGGUCUCUCCAUGCAGUGAAACAUCAUUUACCCCUAAAAACCAAUGACGCUCCAGCCCACGCCACGACGUAGGUGAGCCUCGAGAACAUUGUGCUCGGUGAGAUAAUCCAAACCCAAAGGGCCGCAUAGCGUAUGACUCCACUUACAGGAGGUGCUCGGAACAGGCAAUUCCAUGGAGAGGAAAGAUCAGUGGCUUCCAGGGUCUGGGGUGGUGGUCAGGGAGAGACCAUCGAAAGGCCUGGGGUUUCAUUUUGGGGUGAUGGGAAAGUCUGACACUAGAUAGGGUCAUGGUUGCACAGUAGCAAAGAGUAAAACUCUUUCCCGGACUGUCUGAGUGAGGGCGGGGUGGGGAUGGUGUCAAUGGGGGUGGGAGGGAGGAUGUGGCUUUGAGGGGUGUUGCUGAGGACCUGCCUCUCUCUAUUCUGCCCUUCUUGCAAGUUCUUGCGGGUCAAGAGCUACCAGCUUGAGGCUUGGAGGAGACAACCCCUCUCCCCAGGACAGGAGGAGGCUAGGAGGCGUAAACAUGAGCCCAUCUUCAUUUUCAGGGACACAGUGGUCCAGGAGCCACAUUAUGGCCCAAAGGCUUUGCACCUGGCCUUUCGUAGGGCACGUUGUGCUGGAGGGAGCUCCAUGUGCUGUUAGACCCCGGCCCAGCAGGAUCCCUGGGGAAUUCCAAAUUCCAGCCACACUAUAGUCUAAUUAAGAGCUUUUACCCAGAGAAAAUGAUGGAAUAGAUUUGUUGUUGGAAAGAAGCCAGAUAAAAUUAGAUGCCUCUUGUCUCCCCACUACCCACCCCUCACCCCUGUGCUCUUGUCUGAAAUCUUUACUUUUGUCUCUUGGUUCCUGGCUGGAAGGUACCCAGGGGUGUGUAUUCUCAAAAGCAGGGAUGUACUGUUGCGUCCUUGAGACUCCCUGCUUAAAUUUCAAGUGUGAUUUUGCUUUUGCUCCAAGUGACUUCUGUUCUGGAACAGCUUUGGGCCUGGGGCUCUGUGUUGGGGGGUGUGUGUGGUUUCUUUUUUCUUUUCAGUAAAGCUUGUUAGAAUUUUAUAGCUGCAAACUGAUAGAAUAUUUUGCCUCACAGAAGAAGUUCAUCUGAUUCCUCACGUCUUGUGUCUUCUCUCCAAGUUCCUGUUCUUGGCAAAGCUAACCUGCUGUCUCAUCCACCGAAAUAGAAUUGGGUUUGCCUCCCAACAGCCACUUUUUAGCAAAACCAGGUUCUGAUAGUCUGCUAUCUUCUGUUACCAUGUGUGGACUGUGAAUUUUAGGAACAGCUGUUCUUUUUUACCAGGGCAGGAAGGGAAAGAGUAUCCUGUAUGAAAACUAGGGCUUCAGUCCGUCCAGGGGAGCUGAUAGCUCAUUACUGGAAAAUGUCCAGGGACACACCGCUGAGCAGGUCACAGGUCUCAGAGGGCCCGGAGCCGUGGGGGUUGGUGCCAUUCAUGUGGGUGUUGGUUUCUUUAAAUUUAAUUCCGUGUGGAAUUCAGCAGAGACCUUGAGGAGAUUUCAGAUGGCCUCAGCCUACACGUCCCAGAUCUUAAAUUGACGAUGUGGGAGAGGGCAUUACAGAGUGGGAGGAGCCGCCGGCAGCAGAUGCCUUCUCCCGGCACGCCUGAUGGGGACGGUCCCCUUGAGUGUGGAAGGAGCCUGUGGUCAGGGGCACACCAUGGUCAGAGGGGCUGGUCAUACACAAACUGCUUUCCCAGAGAGGAAAACCUCCUGUGUCUCUCUGGGCCUUUUCUUUCUCUGCUUCUCAUCUCGGCAUUACAGGCACAGAGACACCCCCUGAAAGGGUCUUCCUUCCACUCCCCCCUGAAUUUCAGCAUUGUCCGAGAGGUGCUCCCUGGGCAGCUGAGAGCAGUUUAAUGGACAGUUUCAUUGGUUUGUUGAUGCUGUCUCAAGAUGACAUUACCCAAAUCCUUUGGAACACGUUUGGGACCGUGGAUUUAGGGACAUUAGUGAAGAGCCAGAGGCGGAGGGGCCUGGACCAAGGAGCUCAGCAAGUGAGGUGGGAUCUUCCCGCUGCCCCUUGGGCUCUGGACCAGACCUCGAGCCAAUGUCUGGUCACGGUGGCCAUUCUAAGACCCAUUCUGUUGCCCACUGGGCCAGUGGUGGCCAUGGGUGGUUUUGUUUGAUGGUUUGUCACUUGCCAUUUGUGCUGGGUGUGGUUAGGAGAGCUGGGCUGCCCGCCGUGGUGCCGCUGGACACCGCAGCUGCUGUGCCCUGGACGAGUGGCUGGCCUGGAGCAAGGUGCUUCGAGCGUGAAACACACCCAAUGGGAAGACUUAGCACAGAUAACAAGACAGCAGAUUAGUCACCUGCUGUAUGCGUUCCGUGGUGAGAUGGUAACGUUUUACAUAGGCCUGUGUAAAUGCGUCACUCAUUUUAUGUUUCCUUUUACUUUUCAAACGUGGGCAGCUACUAGAAAACUUGAAAGUUGGGGGUGCCCAGCAGGCUCUGUUGGAGGGGCAUGGGCUCUGAUCUCGGGUUGUGAGUUCCAGCCCCAUGAUGGGCAGAGCGGUUACUUAAAAUAAAAUCUUAAAAAAAAAGUUGAAUCUCUAGCACGCAUGGCAAUUCCUUUGGGUGGAGCCGCGCCACAGCCCGCCUUCUUGGAACACGCACACACACGCGUGCACGCGCAUGCGUGCACGCACACUCUGUCACACACAGUCACAUGCACGCGUGUGCGUGCAGAUACCAGCGGAGCACAGGGAGCAGGAACGCGCACACACACGGCGUCCCUCUCAGGACAGGCUGGUCUCCAGCCGACACCUGGGCAGUGGGGACCUCAAGGCCUCUGGAGGGGCAGGGGAGUGAUGGACGCGUGGUCACGACAGGGAAGAUGGGGCUGCCCCUGUCCUGCUUGUGUGCAUCAGUCACUCGUCCUGAGAAUGCUGUCCUGCGGGGCGUUACCCGCGUGUGGGAGCUUUGGACAGUAAGUGCAGAACGGACGUCAGACAUACCAGCCCCUCUUCACCCCCAGCUCUCCCAGCUGCCACUUU